RNAcentral lists this ribosomal RNA (497 nucleotides) under uncultured bacterium. RNAcentral describes it as "partial 16S ribosomal RNA". It matches the Rfam family "Bacterial small subunit ribosomal RNA", at positions 28 to 507 of the family's 1533-position model. The record is from RNAcentral.
GAUGAACGCUGGCGGCGUGCCUAAUACAUGCAAGUCGAGCGAACGGACGAGGAGCUUGCUUCUCUGACGUUAGCGGCGGACGGGUGAGUAACACGUGGAUAACCUACCUAUAAGACUGGGAUAACUUCGGGAAACCGGAGCUAAUACCGGAUAAUAUUUUGAACCGCAUGGUUCAAUAGUGAAAGACGGUUUUGCUGUCACUUAUAGAUGGAUCCGCGCUGCAUUAGCUAGUUGGUAAGGUAACGGCUUACCAAGGCAACGAUGCGUAGCCGACCUGAGAGGGUGAUCGGCCACACUGGAACUGAGACACGGUCCAGACUCCUACGGGAGGCAGCAGUAGGGAAUCUUCCGCAAUGGGCGAAAGCCUGACGGAGCAACGCCGCGUGAGUGAUGAAGGUCUUCGGAUCGUAAAACUCUGUUAUUAGGGAAGAACAUAUGUGUAAGUAACUGUGCACGUCUUGACGGUACCUAAUCAGAAAGCCACGGCUAACUACGUG